UCCCUGGUGGCCUAGUGGUCAGGAUUCUGGGCUUUCCCAUUGCCAUGGCCCAGGUUCAAUCCCUGGUCGGGGAA
Transfer RNA from Ovis aries (sheep), 74 nucleotides. It matches the Rfam family "tRNA". Rfam says of the family: Transfer RNA (tRNA) molecules are approximately 80 nucleotides in length. The record is from Rfam. NCBI's taxonomy places the organism in Eukaryota, Metazoa, Chordata, Mammalia, Artiodactyla, Bovidae.